GGCUUCCUUCAGUGGAUGGUCUGCUCCCUUUUAAAUGCAUUAGUGGGAUCUCUUGUGGACCGUCACUUGGUGUGAUAAUUAUCUAUGCCUCGUCGACCUUGAAGCAAAAAUUAUGGGGAACCUGCUUAUAACCGUCUCGCAAGGGACAAUAUCUCUGACAUUUUGACCUCAAAUCAGGUAGGACUACCCGCUGAACUUAA
RNAcentral lists this unclassified non-coding RNA (200 nucleotides) under soil metagenome. RNAcentral describes it as "partial contains internal transcribed spacer 2 and large subunit ribosomal RNA". The record is from RNAcentral.